RNAcentral lists this long non-coding RNA (243 nucleotides) under Elaeis guineensis (African oil palm). RNAcentral describes it as "long non-coding RNA (EGUI_LNC057476)". Lineage: Eukaryota; Viridiplantae; Streptophyta; Magnoliopsida; Arecales; Arecaceae. The record is from RNAcentral.
AUGAUAAUGACUUAGUUGAUGAAUCAGUAGAAAUUUUUUCUACUAUUCAUCCCUGCUCUGGCUAAUGACUCUCAGAGUCAUCAUCCUAUAAGAUCACAUAGGAUGUUCUCUCCUCUUACAAGGAGUGACCGAUUUCUUAUUAGUCACAACCUCCAUGCACAUAUCAUAUCCAUAUCCCACAUACAUCUCAAAGUGACAUGCUAGGGAAUAAACUAAAGUAAGGGUCCAUGUACACAAGGUACC